UCGUAGGAGUUUAUUUCCUUAUUUAAUUCCCAUAAUCCAUAUCAGGCGUCGAAGUUGGAGCUAACACCCAUACCAUCAAUUACAUUCAAAUAUCCAAAAUUAAUUCAAUUGAAUUACAAUUUCGAUUCAUUAACACUCAAGACUAAUUAAAACAUUCAAAAUAUUUUCAUAGCAUCCACAAACCACAACAGUUCAAGACAUGGUAUCAUAGUAAUAUACAUCACCUAUCAUCCUAACACUAGCAUGCCAAAACACGAUUUUGCAGCCAAUAAUUAAACAUCAGAUGAUGCAUCAACAUCAACACACAACUACAGCAAGUCCACCUACAGCCACCCAAACCUUCGACAAUAACAGACCAAACCUCAACCUGCAAUGGCCAGUUUCACAAUAGGGAAUCAGUUAAAAAAUCCAUAGCACAAACAAUAUCGGUUAAGGAGCAUCAUUUAACACCAACUCACAAUAACCUUUCAAUAAUUCUAAACAUAAUACAAACUACAAGUGAAUAAUUGACAAGUAAAUCUCACAUAAUUAAUAAAUCAGUAAUCUAAUAUUUCUUUCUUACCUAAAUAAUUUUCCAUUAAGCAUUGCAGCCAACAUUUUUAUUUGUCUUCUUUCACAACAAAUGCGUUCUGCAAGCAGUCCUAACAGCAUGUGGUCCUAGCAGGGCAAAGAAACCUGAAAAUUCACCACCAAAUACACAUGUUUAAUUCUAUACAUUCAAAUCAGGAAAAUGAAUAAUUAACUUGAUGAUACUCCUACUGCAAGGCUAGAUAGCAGUAGCAGUAUUUUACAGAAAAUUAGAUGGAAUUUGAUAAGUUAUUUUCAUUUCAUGUGAAUUACAAACUUAGCUCACUAAAAUAGUUCAUAGCAUACUAAAUUGUUAAGCUGGUCUAAAUGUAUAGUUGCAGCAUAGCUUAAUUUCAACUCAAUGAACAAACUAACCAAUUUACAUUUCAUACUAAGUGAAUUUCAAUUGAAUUUGUAACUAACUUCACCUAAUCUCUAAUGGACUAACAAACAGAGUGAACCAAUUUUAAAAGUUCCUAACAGGACCAAUUCACAGUGAAUUUCAGAAUUCAUUUCAUCCGAAUUUCAAUUUCAUUUGAAUCUGGAUUCCUAACUAACUUAUGAAUUUGAGAAGAAUGUCAUUGUGAAUUUCAAUAUAAUUUCUAACAAACUUGGAGAUGUAUAAAUAGUAUAAAUACCUUACUGCAGAACUUCAAUGAAAAAAGGAACCAACUUCGAUCUUCAAUUCUCAACUCUUCAUUCUAUUCUUCAACCUUCAAUCUUCUUUCAUCUUCAAUCUUCAAUCUUCUUCAAUCUUCAAUCUUCUUCAAUCUUCAACCUGCAAUCUUCAUUCUGCAAUUGGGUGUCUCCACUCUGCAACCUGGGAAUCCCAUUCUGCAAUCUGCAACAAUCACCACAAUCCCUCAAUCCGCAGCACAACUACAACAACAACAACAAGAACGCACCAGAACAGAAGAAGGGAGAAGAAGAAGGACAUAUCGUAUCAGAAGCCGAAGAGUAUCAGAAGUAGAAGCACAUUAGAACAGCAGCAGAAAAGGAUCGAAGAAGAAACGCAGAGGGAGAAGAAUAAAGAAUGAAUCGAAGCUGAGGAAUUCAAUACCUGCAAUUAAGGGGAGGAUCCUCAACUUGAGUUCUCAAUCUGCAAGCUUUUUUUUUCAAUCUUCAACCAGUUUUUUGCUUCAUAAACCUGCCGUGAGGCCUGUACCCCUGUCUCCAUUACUAUUAUUAAUCUAUUUAUUUUAUUUUAAUUAUUAAAUAAU
RNAcentral lists this long non-coding RNA (1787 nucleotides) under Lathyrus oleraceus (garden pea). RNAcentral describes it as "Pisum sativum (pea) long non-coding RNA (PSAT_LNC032738)". The record is from RNAcentral. Lineage: Eukaryota; Viridiplantae; Streptophyta; Magnoliopsida; Fabales; Fabaceae.